Molecule: long non-coding RNA, 1920 nt
Organism: Passer domesticus (house sparrow)
Lineage: Eukaryota; Metazoa; Chordata; Aves; Passeriformes; Passeridae
Exons: 3
Source: RefSeq, a predicted model, not a curated record
CUUUGUUUCUUUGCAGGUGCCGUCGCCGUCCUCAGCGUGCCAAGGAACGGAGGCGAGCGGGUGUCUUCCGGGCAGACUCUGGAGUCAAAUCAAGAUUUGAGGUAGCAUGAGGAGGUUUGUAGCCAAAGUUCGGAAAGAGCAGCACCGAAGCGCACGACAACGUCUCAGCGUCCGCGUCCAACCGGCGAUGGAUUUUGUCAGCUCGUCUUCCCAAAGCUAAGUGUCGGGGCCCAUACUUGCGGGGAGGGAAAAAGCCUUUACUCUCACAUGGGGCAAUUUGAUGUUAGCUUAGUGGAGCAGUCUGUAGCGGAACAGGUCCCUCGGAAGUAAAGGGAGAGGGUUUCUCCUGGCCUCACCGGAGCCUUUGCCGGGCAGGGCAGUUCCGACCCGUCUCCACGUUCUCGCGAACUUUGCGUCGUCAGCCUCCUUCGACCCUCGACGACGUCGUGGAUCUUUCUCCCGAGGAGCUCACCUUCAGGUCCGGAGCUAUAGCCACCAUCACCUGGCAGUCUUCGCUUCCUUCUCUAGGCCCACCCAGCCUCCCGAGCAUCCUCUUAACUGCUUUGGCAGCACCUCCUUUUAAGGAGCUGUUUCAUCAUCACACACUCUUGCCGUAGGACUCGCUUUCCUUCGGCAUCUUUGGCCUCUGGCUCAUCUCGCACUAGAAAUCUUGAAUCCAUAAGGUGUAACUGCCAGGCAGUUUCCACUCGUGUCCGUGUCCUCUGUGUCCGUGUCCUCCGUGUCCGUGUUACGUAAUCUGCAUCCAUUGUCUUCUGUGUCAUAGGCCUUUUACAUCUCGAUGCUGUAUCGGCAUCAUUCUGUGCCAUAUCGGCCAUAUUUUACUCACGUUCCUUCCUGGACAUUGCUUAUUCUGCCAUCUUUACAUUUUUACUCUUUGAGACAUGAAGAAGUACACAAGAUGUUGUCAUCGAUCUUCCAUCUCAGCUUUGGCAUCGCCUUUUUUCCCCCCGUGCCAUUCUCUUGGGCUUCUACAGGGAGCGUCUUACACCCUCCUCACAUGACCAUCAUAACUCAGUAGGUUCCAUCUUCUCAAAGGGUAUAGCGCUCAAGAAUUCAUCUUCCAGAGAGUUCUCAAGUCCUGGUUUAUAUUGUAUGUUCUUAUGUUGUCUGUACCUAUCUCGGUGUAUAUUGUAUGUAAUUAUAUUGUAUGUACCUAUGUUGGCUUAUAUUGUAUGUAAUUAUAUUGUGUGUACCUAUGUUGACUUAUAUUGUACGUUAUUAUUCUGUAUGUACCUAUGUUGGCUUAUAUUGUAUGCACUUGAAUUGUAUGUAAUUAUCUCGGCACGUAUUGUAUGUACUCGCAUGGUAUGUAAUUACCUUGGCUUAUAUUGAAUGUACUCGUACGGCGUGUAAUUAUAUUGGCUUAUACGGUACGUACUUACGCCGUACGUACUUGCGUCGGCUUAUAUCGCGUGUACUUAUAUUGCGCCACUUAGGGUCCGAGCUGCCCUGCCCUGGCACGUAGUCACAGUUAGGUAGCACAGUUAUAAAAACUUUACCAUUCAUCUGUCUUCUAUGGGAUUUUGGGUAGAAAACUUAUGGGCCCAGAGCGGGGACAAGUCCUAGCUGUAAGCUAGCCACUCGUCGAUCGCCUCCCGUUGUCUCACAGGUCCCCGAGGCGACCGAUUUUCCCGGAAUCUACCGUUUGACGUCGAGCGGCAGCCGGAUGACGUGUCGAAGCACAUUCUUCAGCGUUUCAAGUAAGGGCCGCAGCGAGCGUGUAAGUCGAAGAGCGUGCGUGGGAGCGAGCGACCGUCCGCAUCCGCUCGUUGCCGCACGUACGAGCGUACGCUCAGCAGUUCUAAGCUUGGGUGUAUGACUUUUGCCUUUCAGGUUUUUCAACACAUUUUAAAAUGUAGAAUAAAAAAUCCCCAGCCGGGGGUUUUUUUUUUUCCCCCC